AUUGAACGCUGGCGGCAGGCCUAACACAUGCAAGUCGAACGGUAACAGGGAUCAGCUUGCUGAUUCGCUGACGAGUGGCGGACGGGUGAGUAAUGUCUGGGAAACUGCCUGAUGGAGGGGGAUAACUACUGGAAACGGUAGCUAAUACCGCAUAACGUCGCAAGACCAAAGAGGGGGACCUUCGGGCCUCUUGCCAUCGGAUGUGCCCAGAUGGGAUUAGCUAGUAGGUGGGGUAACGGCUCACCUAGGCGACGAUCCCUAGCUGGUCUGAGAGGAUGACCAGCCACACUGGAACUGAGACACGGUCCAGACUCCUACGGGAGGCAGCAGUGGGGAAUAUUGCACAAUGGGCGCAAGCCUGAUGCAGCCAUGCCGCGUGUAUGAAGAAGGCCUUCGGGUUGUAAAGUACUUUCAGCGGGGAGGAAGGGAGUAAAGUUAAUACCUGUGCUCAUUGACGUUACCCGCAGAAGAAGCACCGGCUAACUCCGU
RNAcentral lists this ribosomal RNA (489 nucleotides) under uncultured bacterium. Its description in RNAcentral is "partial 16S ribosomal RNA". It matches the Rfam family "Bacterial small subunit ribosomal RNA", at positions 30 to 506 of the family's 1533-position model. The record is from RNAcentral.